RNAcentral lists this ribosomal RNA (365 nucleotides) under Deltaproteobacteria bacterium. Its description in RNAcentral is "bacterial SSU rRNA". It matches the Rfam family "Bacterial small subunit ribosomal RNA", at positions 1 to 348 of the family's 1533-position model. Lineage: Bacteria; Pseudomonadati; Myxococcota; Myxococcia. The record is from RNAcentral.
UUAAACUGGAGAGUUUGAUUCUGGCUCAGAACUAACGCUGGCGGCGUGCCUAACACAUGCAAGUCGUACGAGAAAGUUCCUUUCGGGGAAUGAGUAAAGUGGCGCACGGGUGAGUAACGCGUGGAUAAUCUGCCCUUUAGUUAGGAAUAACCCAUCGAAAGAUGGACUAAUACCCAAUGAUGCUGACCGGUUUCGGCAGGUUAGUCAAAGGUGGCCUCUACUUGUAAGCUACCGCUGAAGGAUGAGUUCGCGUACCAUUAGCUAGUUGGUGGGGUAAUGGCCUACCAAGGCGACGAUGGUUAGCUGGUCUGAGAGGAUGAUCAGCCACACUGGAACUGAGACACGGUCCAGACUCCUACGGGAGG